GGAAUUCUAGAGCCCCAGAAUCCUGGAAUCCCAGAACCCCAGAAUCCUGGAAUCCCAGAAUCCUGGAACCCCAGAAUCCCAGUACCCCAAAAUCCUGGAAUCCCAGAAUUCUGGACCCCAGUACCCCGGAACCCUGGAGCCUCAGAAUCCUGGAAUGCCAGAAUCCUGGAACUCCAGACUCCCAGAAUCCCAUCAUCCCAGAAUCGUGAGAUCCCAUAAUAUCAGAACCCCGGAAUCCCGGAAUUCCAGGGUUCUGGGAUGGGAAGGGAGCUCUGGAGAUGUCCCUGUGCUCUCAGCACGGGGGUGACAACUUGGAGGAUUUGGGCAGAAAUUUGAGAGAUUUGUGCGGGAAUUUUGAGGGAUUUCUAUGGAUAUUGGAGAUAUUUCUACGGAUUAAUGGGAUCCCCCUUUGGACAGGAGAUUUUUACGGAUAUUGGAGAUAUUUCUAGGAACAUUCGAGGCAUUUCUGUCCCUCGAGCCCCCUUGAAGCCACCAGGGAGAUUUUAGGGUUUUUUCCCCACCCCACAUCCAGCCCCCAGCGGGUUUUUAGCUCAAAUAAGGCAAAUAAAGAGAGCUCAGAGGCAUUUCCUGCCCUUGGCUUCCUGUUCUGCAGAGCAUCAGCCCCAAAUCAGGUGACAGAGGUGACAAAUUCGGCCUCCAAAUCCGGUGACAAAGUGACAAAAUUAGGGUGCAGUGGUGAGAAAAAUCCGCCCCAAAGUCAGGGGACAAAGUGACGGAAAUCGGGUGACAGGUGACAAAAAUCAGCCCCAAAUCGGGUGACAGAGGUGACAGAAAUCAGCCCCAAAUCGGGUGACAGAGAUGACAGAAAUCAGCCCCAAAUCGGGUGACAGGUGACAAAAAUCAGCCCCAAAUCGGGUGACAGAGGUGACAGAAAUCAGCCCUAAAUUGGGUGACAGGUGACAAAAAUCAGCCCUAAAUUGGGUGACAGAGAUGACAGAAAUCAGCCCCAAAUCGGGUGACAGAGGUGACAAAAAUCAGCCCCAAAUCGGGUGACAGAGAUGACAGAAAUCAGCCCCAAAUCGGGUGACAGAGGUGACAGAAAUCAGCCCCAAAUCGGGUGACAGAG
Molecule: long non-coding RNA, 1087 nt
Organism: Serinus canaria (Common canary)
Lineage: Eukaryota; Metazoa; Chordata; Aves; Passeriformes; Fringillidae
Exons: 2
Source: RefSeq, a predicted model, not a curated record